RNAcentral lists this ribosomal RNA (253 nucleotides) under uncultured bacterium. RNAcentral's name for it is "partial 16S ribosomal RNA". It matches the Rfam family "Bacterial small subunit ribosomal RNA", at positions 524 to 776 of the family's 1533-position model. The record is from RNAcentral.
UACGUAGGCAGCAAGCGUUGUUCGGAAUUACUGGGCGUAAAGAGUGUGUAGGCGGUGUUCUAAGUUUGUCGUGAAAUCUCCCGGCUUAACUGGGAGGGUGCGGCGAAAACUGGAAUGCUAGAGGAUGGGAGAGGUAAGCGGAAUUCCUGGUGUAGCGGUGAAAUGCGUAGAUAUCAGGAAGAACACCCGUGGCGAAGGCGGCUCUCUGGAACGCAACUGACGCUGAGACGCGAAAGCGUGGGGAGCAAACAGG